GAUGAACGCUGGCGGCGUGCCUAAUACAUGCAAGUCGAGCGAACAGACGAGGAGCUUGUUCCUCUGACGUUAGCGGCGGACGGGUGAGUAAAACGUGGAUAACCUACCUAUAUGACUGGGAUAAUUUCGGGAAAACGGAGCUAAUACCGGAUAAUAUAUUGUACCGCAUGGUUCAAUAGUGAAAGACGGUUUUGCUGUCACUUAUAGAUGGAUCCGCGCCGCAUUAGCUAGUUGGUAAGGUAACGGCUUACCAAGGCAACGAUGCGUAGCCGACCUGAGAGGGUGAUCAGCCACACUGGAACUGAGACACGGUCCAGACUCCUACGGGAGGCAGCAGUAGGGAAUCUUCCGCAAUGGGCGAAAGCCUGACGGAGCAACACCGCGUGAGUGAUGAAGGUCUUCGGAUCGUAAAACUCUGUUGUUAGGGAAGAACAAAUGUGUAAUUAACUAUGCACGUCUUGACGGUACCUAAUCAGAAAGCCACGGCUAACUACGUG
Molecule: ribosomal RNA, 497 nt
Filed under: uncultured bacterium
Lineage: Bacteria
Description: partial 16S ribosomal RNA
Rfam family: Bacterial small subunit ribosomal RNA
Source: RNAcentral